This 329-nucleotide ribosomal RNA is filed under the name Klebsiella aerogenes. RNAcentral's name for it is "partial 23S ribosomal RNA". It matches the Rfam family "Bacterial large subunit ribosomal RNA", at positions 911 to 1238 of the family's 2925-position model. Lineage: Bacteria; Pseudomonadati; Pseudomonadota; Gammaproteobacteria; Enterobacterales; Enterobacteriaceae. The record is from RNAcentral.
UGUUUCGGCUAGGGGGUCAUCCCGACUUACCAACCCGAUGCAAACUACGAAUACCGAAGAAUGUUAUCACGGGAGACACACGGCGGGUGCUAACGUCCGUCGUGAAGAGGGAAACAACCCAGACCGCCAGCUAAGGUCCCAAAGUCACAGUUAAGUGGGAAACGAUGUGGGAAGGCACAGACAGCCAGGAUGUUGGCUUAGAAGCAGCCAUCAUUUAAAGAAAGCGUAAUAGCUCACUGGUCGAGUCGGCCUGCGCGGAAGAUGUAACGGGGCUAAACUGUGCACCGAAGCUGCGGCAGCGACACUAUGUGUUGUUGGGUAGGGGAGCG